AGAGUUUGAUCAUGGCUCAGGAUGAGCGCUGGCGGUGUGCCUAAUACAUGCAAGUCGAACGCAUCUUCGGAUGAGUGGCGGACGGGUGAGUAACACGUUAGUACCUGCCCUUUAGUGGGGAAUAACCCGGCGAAAGUCGGGCUAAUACCGCAUGUGAUCCUUCGGGAUGAAAGAAUUUAUUCGCUAAAGGAGGGGCUUGCGUCUGAUUAGCUAGUUGGUAGGGUAAAAGCCUACCAAGGCGACGAUCAGUAGCUGGUUCGAGAGGAUGACCAGCCACACUGGGACUGAGAUACGGCCCAGACUCCUACGGGAGGCAGCAGUAAGGAAUCUUCCGCAAUGGGCGAAAGCCUGACGGAGCAACACCGCGUGCAGGAUGACGGCCUUCGGGUUGUAAACUGCUUUUAAUUGGGAAGAUUAUGACGGUACCAAUUGAAUAAGGACCGGCUAACUACGUGCCAGCAGCCGCGGUAAUACGUAGGGUCCAAGCGUUAUCCGGAAUCACUGGGCGUAAAGCGUGCGUAGGCGGAUUGUUAAGUGCGAUGCGAAAUCCUGUGGCUCAACCAUAUGGACUGUAUCGCAUACUGGCAAUCUUGAGGAAUGCAGAGGCAAGUGGAAUUACUGGUGUAGCAGUGAAAUGCGUAGAUAUCAGUAGGAACACCAAUGGCGAAGGCAGCUUGCUGGGCAUUUUCUGACGCUAAGGCACGAAAGCGUGGGGAGCGAACAGGAUUAGAUACCCUAGUAGUCC
RNAcentral lists this ribosomal RNA (745 nucleotides) under uncultured bacterium. RNAcentral's name for it is "bacterial SSU rRNA". It matches the Rfam family "Bacterial small subunit ribosomal RNA", at positions 8 to 796 of the family's 1533-position model. The record is from RNAcentral.